Molecule: long non-coding RNA, 282 nt
Organism: Mauremys reevesii (Reeves's turtle)
Lineage: Eukaryota; Metazoa; Chordata; Testudines; Geoemydidae
Exons: 3
Source: RefSeq, a predicted model, not a curated record
GGAAAAAUGCAAACAGCUGAAGCAAUUAACCAAUCCUCUCAGAGGCUGCUGGAAGUAGGAGGGUUCUGAGUCAAUCUUCAAAAUGAAACCAUCCAGAUACACUGCAAGAAAUGGAGGAAUUUUCCAACACCAAAUGGGAAUGUGGACUCGUAAAAGAAGGAUGAAGUCAAAAUAUGGUCUGUAUCCUCACCCGGUGUAAUUUGGCAUGACUCCAUUGAUUUCUGAUCCCUUAUCUUUAAUGUCCUUCUCCUUUUUUAAUGAAAUAUGAUUCUAAAUCAAGAA